Molecule: long non-coding RNA, 9269 nt
Filed under: Eucalyptus grandis
Lineage: Eukaryota; Viridiplantae; Streptophyta; Magnoliopsida; Myrtales; Myrtaceae
Description: long non-coding RNA (EGRA_LNC005760)
Source: RNAcentral
GACCACGGAGAAGAGCAUUGAUGAAAUUUCUGGACAUACUGACCUUGGCAUCAGAAGUAACCUGGAAAGGCAUUCCAUUACUCCUCCCGGCACUCGGUGGUAGAGUCAGAUUUGUUAGCCUUGUAUGGACUGGUAACUCUUCAGUGCUCGUGAAAGGUGGUGCUGCUGAGAACUAUUUUUGUAUAACGUUGUUUUGUCCUAGUCAAUUAGUUGUGAUGUAACAUAUGGUUAUCUAUGCAAUAUAAAUUUAUCAGAUACAGAUGCACGUGAAAAUGAUAUCAGUCAGUUCGCUCUUUCAACAUUUUUGAAAUAUCGAAAUGAACGGGUAAUAAGGCCAUUUUUCUUUGUCGAAGUAUUAAGGCCACUUAUGAAGAAUAGGAGUGUCUUUGAUUUAUGAUCCAUGUACAUUUACUUCAAGUGUGCAUUAUUUUCUCUUUUCGUGUCUGCUAUAAAUUGGACAAAACAUACGUAAAUCCUUUGUAGAGAUAAUAUCCGAAAGAAGUACGCAUAAGUGUUAAAAUUUGGCACAAAUGGAUGCAUAAUUGCCAAAACUUUCAAAAGGUACACUUAAGUGUCACAAGUGCCAACUCCGGUAAGAUUUUAGCAUUAUUUUAUUAAUAAAAUUGGUUUAUGAGGCUUGCUGAAAUGUUCACAGUAUCCUUGUUCCCAAACCAUAUCUUUUUGUCCCAAAAUAUGAUUUAAAAUAUAAAUUCUAAAUAAAUUAAAUUUUAGAAAAAGGGAAUCAGAUCUAGGGUUGUGGAGGCCCUCGAGUUCUUAAAAAAAAAAAAAUUUUUAAUUUGAAUUAAAUUAAUAUUUAUAUUAAAAAUCAAAAUCAGACCAAACCAUUGUCUUGGGCUUAGCUAGCCAUGUUAGUGCCACAUGUUAGCGCCACUUGGAUAAUUUUUUUUAAAUGAAUUGUCACAUAAGUUAAAAAUCUCACUAGAAAAAGCCAUGUCAGCUGUUUAGUUGGAGAUUCUUGCUGUUAGUAUUUAAGUAUUCAUUUCUUCUUUGAUUUUGGCACCCAAGUGUACUUUUUGAAAUUUUUGACACUUACAUGUUUACUUGUAUUGAGUUUUGGCAAAUAAUAUUCUAAUAUAACUUAUGUAACUUUUAGAAUGUCCCAAUAAUCAACUUGCCACAAUAUCAAAUUUUCCAUUUAAAAAAAAUCGUCAAUUUCAGUCGAGAGUUUUUAAGGCUUACUGCUAAAUCAAAUUCUUCUUUAUUAAUGUCUCCAUUAUUAUUAGUUAGAAAAACUAGCGACUCUUCUCACGUGGAAUUUAAAAUCUCUAUGCUUAGACGCUUUGAGUGUCUCUUUUAACUAUAGCUAUUGGCCCGCGAUAAUUAUCUAGAUGAAAUAUCCUAUCUAGAAGGAGACCUUCCAGAAUGUGCGACUACCAAUCAUCACACUUCUCUGAAAGCAUAGAUCAAAAUAGUUAGACAAUAGAUGCAUGCACACGUGAAAUAAAUUGAGUAGAAUAUAAUGUUAGAAAGUUCAGUUCAAAAAUUUAAACUAUUAUGUAGAGGGAUAAUCACUCAAUAAGUCCUAAACCUAUUAUACACAUGUCAAUUUAGCUUUCAACUUUCAAUUUUGUCAAUUUAAUUUUAAGCCUUCUUGUGAAAUUCCAAUGUAGUCAUUUUAAUUAAUUUUUGUCGAAAAUUGCUAAUAUGACAUAUGGCCACAUAGAGGUAGAAUGACAAGUGAUUAUUAGAUUGUGACAUAUGGCCACAUAGGUUGAUAGACAAUGGCUGGACUGUCACUUCAACGGUUUUGGCGAAAUUUGGUCAAAAAGAUUAUACUAAAAUCUCACAUAAGGAUUUAUGAUUAAAUUGAUAAAAUUUAAAAGUUUAGAAUUAAAUUGGUAUUCGUACAAUAUUUUCAUGACUGAUUGGACAAUUUUUCCGAUAGAUAAAAAGAGAUGACAUUAUAUAAAGAGUAUAUAAAACCCAUGAUCAAAGCAAUAUUAGAUAUUUCAAUACAUGUGCAUGCAUGCGUCGGUCUUCAAAGUCAAAGGAGCAAAAAAUAUUGAACAGCCCCCAAAAGAGAAGAGAGAGAGAGAGAGGGAAAAAGAAGAAUUUGACUUUUGGUCGGCUACUGGUGCUUUGGAUGUAUUCUCUUCUUUCGACGCGGUUUUGACGAUUCUGUGGGGCUAGGCAAGAAUCGCGCAGGAGGGCCAAUUUUACAUAAUUAACAAAGCGACAGCCCCUUCUCUUGUUUUGGUUUCAUCCUGCUCUCGAAGCCCUCUUAUUUGUUUUUCUCCUCUUUUGCCGUCUAUUUUGACUCUAAAUCGGUGCGACAAACACUGGUCCCAUUCACUUUUCUAAAAACGCCCUCGUGGAAAUGCAGAUUCAGCUAGUGGCAUUUGUACUUUAAUCACUAAGAUAUGCAUGCGAACAAAACCCAUGCAGAACACUACAUACACUAUUUUUAUCGUACCCUACACUAUUUUUAUCCACUCGCCCGAAAGAUACAAGACACUUCGCGUACCACCUCUCUCUCGCCAGCCAUCUUUUUGUACUGCUUCUCCUUAGUUUGACCUCUCCUUCGUGCUAUAUAUACAUGCACGUUGUGGAUGCAUUGCCUCACACCAAAGUCAGAACAUCUUAGAGAAUCAACAUCUCAGUCGUCUAAGCAAAAGCUUAUACACUUCAUUCAACUAUUUUCGUAACAAUGGAGGGUCGCUUCUUUCCCAACAAAGCCGCCUUGUUCAUGAUGCUUCUUACGGUAUGCAUUGCACCAACCUUGGUACAAGGACAAGGUACGAGAGUAGGGUUCUACUCAAGUUCGUGUCCGCGUGCCGAGGCCAUUAUUAGGUCGACCGUUCAAGCCCAUUUCAAAUCUAAUCCCACUGUGGCUCCGGGGUUGUUGAGGAUGCACUUUCACGACUGCUUUGUCCAAGGAUGCGACGGUUCCAUCCUCAUCGAUGGGCCCAACGUUGAGAAAACGGCAGGUCCAAACCGUUUGUUGAGAGGAUAUGAAGUGAUCGACGAUGCAAAGACUCAGCUCGAAGCUGCAUGUGCCGGCGUCGUUUCAUGUGCUGAUAUUCUCGCUCUUGCAGCCCGUGAUUCCGUUUUUCUGGUACUUUAUAAUCUCGUGCUUCCAUUUAUUAGAGAUCUCCGAUAUGAGUGCAAACCAAUGUGGAUCAAUUUCAUUCACUUCUACGCAAAUCUUGGCGACGGCAACAUGAUUGAUAUCUUUUAAUUGCAAUGAUUCUUCAAAUAUUUGAGAUAUCUUGAGUGAUGUGAUUCAUGAAAUUCAAUGCAGACGAAUGGACGAAGUUGGGCCGUGCCGACGGGACGUAGAGAUGGGCGGGUCUCCUUGGCAUCAGACACUGCAAAUUUGCCAGGUUUCCGGGAUUCAGUUGAUGUGCAAAAGAAAAAGUUUGCCGACUUAGGACUGAACACCCUUGAUCUCGUUGCUCUUGUUGGUCAGUAUUUUCAAUUUGUCGCCAUUUCAAUUUACUAUCCUGCAGUACAGAAGUUGGCAACCGAACGCGUUAUACUGCAGCAUUUCCAAACCUAAUUAUUUUUCUCCCGUCUGCUGAAUCUAAGGACAACUCCGCCCGUCGGUAGUUGUUAUAUUUCUUCUUGUCCUGUUGUUAAGGACGACUGUGGCUGUCCCUAAAAUCUGAUUAAUCUUCUUUCUAAUUUCCUUUAAGAGCUGUAAACAUGAAGUUUAUUUGUAAACAUGAAGUUUAUUUGUCAUAGGUAAGAUAGAAUAGACAUAUUAAAAACUUGUCGACUUAUUGCUUCUUGCUAUCUCGUAAUUAAAUCGAGUCUUCCCAUAUGUCCAUGCGCAUCAAAAGGGAUACACUGAGUUUCUUCGCUUUUGACCAAUACGCGAUACAGGAGGGCACACCAUAGGAACUGGAGCUUGCCAGUUAUUUAGCUACAGACUCUACAAUUUCACCAAUACUACAUCAAGUGGAGCCGACGCUUCCAUCGAUCCUUCCUUUGUUUCUCAACUCCGGUCUCUGUGUCCACAAAACGGUGAUGGCACGAGGCGUGUUGCCCUCGACACCGGCAGCCCUAGUCGUUUCGAUGCAUCCUUCUUUGCAAACUUGAGGAGCGGAAGGGGAGUUUUGGAGUCUGAUCAGAAGCUAUGGACGGAUGCCUCCACCAAAACCUUCGUGCAGGGCUUUCUAAGCAGCCAAGGCCCGACCCGGUUGGACUUCAACACGGAGUUUGCUAAAUCGAUGGUGAAGAUGAGUAACAUUGGCGUGAAGACGGGGACCAAUGGUGAAAUUAGGAAAAUAUGCUCUGCCAUUAAUGCAUGAUUUAGAUCAUUAAAGAUUAUUGCAUUUUGGUAUUUCAGUGUUAUCUGUUAGAGUCCGCGUAAGCUGAUUCGUGGUGCAUUUUAAUGAAAGAAGGGAACGUGUAGUACUUUAUAAUUAUAUAAAGUUGAUGGCUAUCGUCUCAAAAAUGAAAAUCUCGACCAUGAAUUUCAAGAUUUCUUAUAUUCUUGUUCCGGUGCCAUUUGAUUUUUAUUCAAAACUAGAUGUUGGUGGCUUAUUUAUUCUAGUAAAUGUGUGACGAUUGACAUAAUCUAAGGUUUUUAGUGGCUUUAAAAAAUGCAUUUUAUGAUAAAACCUAACAAAUAUUUAUAGAAUAUAGUAACAUAUAGAAAAUUAUAUUUUUGAAUGUUUUGUAUUUGAUCAUAUUUUAACAUCAUAAAUUCGCAAGAUUUGAUAUCUUUUCAUUUACGUUCACAACUCUAAAAAGCGUCUUGCUAGGUGGUACAAAAUCAAUGACCUAUCUUGAGCUCGACUUGGGUUCAUUAAUUUUUUUUAUGAAAUCGAUUUAUAUUAUUAUAAUGCCUUCAUAUAGAAAAUUAAAAUAGAGUAAAGUAAUUUGACACAAUUACGAUAUAAUUAAUAAAAAACAUGUAUACACUUCGGUUGUUGGAAAAUAAUUCAUUAUAUAUAAGUUUUGAUAACUUAAUUUGUCCUUUUUUUUUCUCUUGUUAUUCUGUACUUUAUUUUGUUAGCCAACUAUAUAUUUAAUUAUUAGGAUCAGCAUUGUUAUGUCAAGAAAAUUUCCAUUUAAAGCUCUGUCACGUUUGUGAUAGUGAUGUGCGACUCAUUUGCGACUUCCGUGCCACUCACAUGCUUGUUCUGUAGCAACGUCAAAGAUGCGAGGAACCCAAUAGUGGAAAAAUUUACAUCGAUGCGGCAAACACUAGUGUCAUUCACUUUUCUAGAAACGCCCUGGAAAAAAUGCAGAUUCAACUAGUGGCAUUUGCCCUAUAAUCACUACUUAUAUGCACACGAACAAAAGUCAUGCGGAGAACGACGUGCACUACUGUCAACGUACCCCACUCCUUUUUUCCACUCGCUCGAAAGAUUCAAGAAACUCUCUGUACGACCUCUCUUUGUCUCGCUCGCCAGCCAUCUUUUUAUACUGCUUCUCCAUAGUUUUGACCUCUCCUUCACGCUAUAUAUACAUGCCCAUUGUGCAUGCAUUGCAUCAUACCAAACUCAGAACAUCUUAUAAAAUCAACAUCUUAGUAUUCUACGCUGAGGCUUAUUCACUUUAUUCCACUAUUUUCGUAACAAUGGAGGUGGCUUCCUUCUCAACAGAGCCACCUUGUUCAUGAUGCUCCUCACAUUAUGCAUUGCACCGAUUUUGUGCAAGGACGAGGUACGAGAGUAGAGUCCUACUCAGGUUCGUGUCCGCGUGCCGAGGCCAUUAUUAGGUCAACGAUUCAAGCCCAUUUCCGGUCCGAUCCCAUUGUGGCUCCUGGGCUGUUUUUUUUUUUUUUUUUUUGGUCGGUCUUACGCUAAUCCUGCCUUAACACUCACUUUCAGACUUUUGUCCUACCUCCUUGUAGUGUGUGGGAGUUGAAACCCACUCCUGAAAUGAAAUCGUCCCCACCCCAAUCCCCCAUGAGAAAGUGGGGAUUUGAACCCCUCACCUCCCCCUAUGCACUUUCAUGAUCGCUUCAUCCAGGGAUGUGACGGUUCGGUUCUCAUCAAUGGGCCCAACGCUGAGAAAAUGGCGCCUCCGAACCAUUUGCUGAAAGGAUAUGAAUUGAUCAAUGACGCGAAGACCCAGCUCGAAGCUGCGUGUCCUAGUGUCGUUUCAUGUGCUGAUAUUCUUGCUCUUCCAGCCCGUAAUUCCGUUGCUCUGUUAUUUAAUAGUCAUGUGCUUCCAUUUGUUAGAGAUCUCCGCUACAAGGUGCAAAUCUCUGUGUGGAUCAAUUUCAUUCACUUCCAUGCAAAUCUUGGGCGAGGUCCAUGAUAUAUGUGAGGGUUCUGGACUGGACGUGGAUUCCUUAAUUUUCCGAUAGAUAUAGUGAUGCCCUUGAUGCAAGGCCUAGUUUUGUUACUGGUUAUCUACUAGCUACAAGGAGAAUAACUGGUAUCAUUCAAGUAUGCAUAUAUUCCUCUUAGUUGCAUACAUUGGCAGUUGAUGAGCAUGAUGGGAGAGUUGACUUGUAUAAGACUAGGAGAUUUAAGCCGUUUAAGCAGAUGCACAACACUUUUAUUAGAUAGCCAAAUAAACUUUGGUAGCAACACUGAAGUUUAGCAAGACAGAAGUUAGGCCAUGAAGUCUAAGGACACAAAUGAUGCAGAUUGAUAACGUGAGGAGGUGUAGAUGAACCAAUAACCAUUAGGUUUUAACAUGCGUGGUUGUUAGAGAUCUUACCUUAGUUAUAAAUUUAUCAGGUAAAGCUGAAGUCGUUUUUUCCACUCUCUAUUUCUAGACUUUUAAAUCUACCUGUUUAGGCUUCAUGACUUUUGGGUUGAAUUUCUGCUAUGACUUACCAUCAGGUUGAAAACACUAUUGGAGAGUUAGGGUGCGUUUGUUUGCGUUUCUGUUUAAAAAUUGUUCCAGGGAACAGAAAUAGAAAAAAAUGUUUCUGUUCCUGGGAACAAUUUCUGAACAAAAAAACGCGUUUGGUAAACUUGUUCCGGGAACAAAAAAUAAAUAGAAACACGUUUGGUAAAUUUGUAUAAUUUUUUUAUUUCUUUUAUUUUUUUCUUAUUUUUCCUUUUUUUCUUUUUUCUUUUUCCUUUUUUCUUUUUUCUUCUUUUGGCCGGUCGUCGGCCUCAGCCAUGGCCGGCGACCGGCCGACGAGGGUCGGUGGCCUCGCCGUAGCUGGGCGAGGGUCGGCCUCGCCUUGGCUGGGCGAGCUCGAGCUCGCCCAGAUUCGGCGAGGCCGAGCUCACCCAGCCCGACGCGCCGACAUCUCGCUGGAUCUGGGCGAGCUCGAGCUCGAGCUCGCCCAGCUACGGCGAGGCUCGGCCUCGCCGGGGGCCGGCGAGCCUCGCCGUGCCUGGGCGAGGCCGCCGGCCCUCGUCAGCCGGUCGCCGGCCAUGGCCGAGGCCGGCGACCGGCGAAAGAAAAAAGAAAGAAAAUAAGAAGAAAAAGAAGAAAAAUUUCAAAAGUGUUUCUGAUUUGUGUUUCUUGUUUCUGUUUCUUUUUUGUUCCUGGGAACAAAAUAACAAAAAAAACAGAAAAAGUGUUUAAAAACAAAAAAAAGAAAUACAAACAAACGCAGCAUUAUACUUUCGAGAAGUCAGUGCGACUGCAGGUGCUGUCACAAUCACUUGCCUCAUGGUCUGUCCAUUGCUGUGUUCAUGGCUUCGGCAAUAGUCUCGUAGUAUAAUUUUACACGAGUUUUUGGUUUGGGCAUUAUAUUGUAUUGAUAAAGACAGAGAUGCCAUUGGGCAGAGAUGCCAUUGAGCGUAAAAAUCUCUUGGUCGUGGGUACAUUUUUCUAUUUCUUCACGAAAAUAUUUUUAAUAUCUUAACUUUUGGAUUCACCUGUGUCAGGUUGCAAAUAUCGUUGGCUUUGUGAUUGGACCAUCUGGUAUCAAUUGGUUAAUUGCUCGAUUCCUUCAUAAAGAAGGUAUAUCCCAAUGUUGCCACCUUUGCAAGAGCUAAACAUGCAUUGUCUGUAAAGAUUGACUUUCUAUUUUGGUGAUAGUGCAUCAUUAACCAUGUUACUCGAUACAUCUCCUAAGAUUGAUGCUCCAGUGCUCAUUAAAUUUCAGCUCCAUUUUUAUCAUCUAGAAAUAUGGUCUCAAAGACAAUCGAUGCAGUCCUUGUGUGGCUUUCUAGAUAAGAAUGACCCACCUUAGGGAGCACAGUACGGUGUUAAUUUUUUGUUUUUUUUUAGGAUUGUUCCUUUUAAACUUUCAGGCUGAUAUGGAUCAAGUCUUUGAAUAAGAUACAUUGUUGAUGUUAUCAAAAGAUUUCUUAUGUGAAACUUUUGAAGCCUGCUGGUUGAUAGCAUAGGAUAAAUGGUGCAAGUUGUGCCUUUGUCAAAUAAGACAUUCUUCAACCUGCCAGCCUCUCCAAGCUGUCCGCAUGAAAUGCAAAAGAUUUAGGCAAAAGCUUUCUGCAUGAGAUACACAAGUUUAAGGCCAGUUGGACCAUUACAUAUGUACUAGCUAUCAUUAUUUCAGUUUUCCAUUUUACACAGUAGUAUUGGAGCAAGCUCCAUUCUGGGUGAGCACUUCACAAGAUCCAAGUCUGUUGAUGCUUUGUUGAUAGUUAAGCCAGUGCAAAAUUGGUUUUGAGCUCACUUUUCCUCUCUAUUGGCAAUUGAAACUGUAACUAGAGUCUGGGAGGAGUUGGAUGGAUGCUGCUCUAGUGGGCAAGCGGAGAUCGUCAGCCGCUUCUGAUAUCGCAGAGCUCUAUUAGCAUCUAAGAGAUUCUGCCAAAUUUGUCCUUUCAUGUCACUACAUAUAUCAUUUAUUGGGGAUUCUUGAACUUGAACGAUUAGUUCUUGCUACUUGCGGAGCUGUUAUCUUUGUUUUCACCUGUCUUUUUUCCUUCUUAUUCCCUCAAUUUUGGACCUCCAGGCAUUGAUAGAGCAUCCAUCUUGCAGGAUGCCUGUCCUUGAUGGCAUGUUUUUGACAUUCUAUGUGGGGACCAAUGCAAGUUAGAUAUCAACUUAUCUUUGCCAUUAAUUGGACAAAAGUGACCAGAGUGACCUAUUUCCCUGUUUUGCAGCUCAUGAUUCAUAUCCAGGAUGCCAAACGGAAAGGACGGUGAAUCAGACACCAUGAUUUGAAAGGGUUGUACUCAGUUGCACCACUGCACAGUAGGAUUAUUUAGCAAUCGACCACGGAGAAGAGCAUUGAUGAAAUUUCUGGACAUACUGACCUUGGCAUCAGAGUUAACCUGGAAAGGCAUUCCAUUACUCCUCCCGGCACUCGGUGGUAGAGUCAGAUUUGUUAGCCCUGUAUGGACUGGUAACUCUUCAGUGCUCGUGAAAGGUGGUGCUGCUGAGAACUAUUUUUGUAUAACAUUGUUUUGUCC